UUCGCAAUGCCCGAAAGGGUGACGAAACGACGCCGCGUGAGCGAAGAAGGCCCUAGGGUUGUAAAGCUCUGUCGGGGGUUAUGAAAUGCAGGUUGGUUAAUACCCAACCUGUUUGACAAAGGCCCCAAAGGAAGCCACGGCUAACUCUGUGCCAGCAGCCGCGGUAAUACAGAGGUGGCAAGCGUUGUUCGGUAUUAUUGGGCGUAAAGAGCACGUAGGUGGUUUUGUAAGUCAGAUGUGAAAGCCUCUGUUCAAAGGAAGAACGGCAUCUGAAACUGCAGAUCUUGAGUGUAGGAGGGGAGAGUGGAACUUCUGGUGGAGCGGUGAAAUGCGUAGAUAUCAGAAGGAACGUCGGCGGCGAAAGCGACUCCCUGGCCUAUUACUGACACUGAGUGUGCGAAAGUUAGGGGAGCAAACGGGAUUAGAUACCCCGGUAGUCCUAACUGUAAACGAUGGGCACUAAGUAGAGGGGUUUU
RNAcentral lists this ribosomal RNA (476 nucleotides) under uncultured anaerobic ammonium-oxidizing bacterium. RNAcentral describes it as "bacterial SSU rRNA". It matches the Rfam family "Bacterial small subunit ribosomal RNA", at positions 365 to 832 of the family's 1533-position model. The record is from RNAcentral.